CACACCCGUUCCCAUACCGAACACGGAAGUUAAGCUCUUCAGCGCCAAUGGUAGUUGGGGGUUUCCCCCUGCAAGAGUAGGACGUCGCCGGGC
This 93-nucleotide ribosomal RNA is filed under the name Falsibacillus pallidus. The record is from RNAcentral. Lineage: Bacteria; Bacillati; Bacillota; Bacilli; Caryophanales; Bacillaceae.